Prionailurus viverrinus (fishing cat) is the source of this 444-nucleotide long non-coding RNA. RefSeq lists it as uncharacterized. The transcript has 3 exons. NCBI's taxonomy places the organism in Eukaryota, Metazoa, Chordata, Mammalia, Carnivora, Felidae. The record is from RefSeq and is a predicted model, not a curated record.
GUGACCAUUUUGAGAGCCACCUGGACAUUCCACGUUCUCCAGAUUCUGCAGACAGGAUCCUGGGAAAACUUGCAGAAACUGGCAAAGGGUGUCUAAAUCAAAUUCAGCUAUCCCAGAUCUUGGUGUUGCCCGGUUAAGAGAGAGAGCUCUCAAGACUGCAGCCUAGAUUUGCUGGAUAAUGAAAGGAGAAAGGGGUGGCAAAUAGAAGAAAUCAGCAUUUUGAAAAAGCCCUCCGAGUGCUUUCUGUAUCCACUAACCUGCUUAUCUACAUGGUCUGGAAGGUGUACGUGAAUGUCUCUUGGAAAUUAGGACCAGAUGGCAAGGAGAAUAAGAAUGCAAGAAAAGCCAAAUGCAGACUAAAGAGAGGAGAGACAAAAGUUGAAAAGGAAGCCUACCUUACUUUCCCUUGCCAGACUUCUUGCUUGGAGGUUCAGAACCCACCAU